RNAcentral lists this ribosomal RNA (676 nucleotides) under Cystobasidium minutum. Its description in RNAcentral is "eukaryotic LSU rRNA". It matches the Rfam family "Eukaryotic large subunit ribosomal RNA", at positions 1 to 663 of the family's 3401-position model. Lineage: Eukaryota; Fungi; Basidiomycota; Cystobasidiomycetes; Cystobasidiales; Cystobasidiaceae. The record is from RNAcentral.
UAGACCUCAAAUCAGUCAGGACUACCCGCUGAACUUAAGCAUAUCAAUAACCGGAGGAAAAGAAACUAACAAGGAUUCCCCUAGUAACGGCGAGUGAAGUGGGAAAAGCUCAACUUUGAAAUCUGGCACCUUCGGUGUCCGAGUUGUAGUCUCAAGAAGUGUUUUCUGUGCUGGCCCAUGUAUGAGUCUGUUGGAACACAGCGUCAUAGAGGGUGACAACCCCGUUCAUGGCAUGGACCCCAGUACUUUGUGAUACACUUUCGAAGAGUCGAGUUGUUUGGGAAUGCAGCUCAAAUUGGGUGGUAAAUUCCAUCUAAAGCUAAAUAUUGGCGAGAGACCGAUAGCAAACAAGUACCGUGAGGGAAAGAUGAAAAGCACUUUGGAAAGAGAGUUAACAGUACGUGAAAUUGUUGAAAGGGAAACGAUUGAAGUCAGACGUGCGUGAUGCGGUUCAGCUCUGGUUCGCCAGAGUGUAUUCCGUAUCUUUGCAGGCCAACAUCGGUUUUGCGAGCCGGAUAAAGGUUAGAGAAAUGUGGCACCUCCGGGUGUGUUAUAGUCUCUGACUGAAUACGGUUUGUGAGACCGAGGAACGCAGCGCGCCGCAAGGCAAAGGUUCCGACCUUUUCGCGCUUAGGAUGUUGGUGAAAUGGCUUUAAACGACCCGUCUUGAAACACG